ACCUCUUGAGUAUGGCCAGUACAUUUGCCUUCCAAGCAGAAAGAUUAAGAAAACUUAAAGGAGGUA
This 66-nucleotide transfer RNA is filed under the name Cerithium eburneum. RNAcentral describes it as "tRNA-Gly". The record is from RNAcentral. Lineage: Eukaryota; Metazoa; Mollusca; Gastropoda; Cerithiidae.